This 621-nucleotide ribosomal RNA is filed under the name Bacillus subtilis. RNAcentral describes it as "bacterial SSU rRNA". It matches the Rfam family "Bacterial small subunit ribosomal RNA", at positions 143 to 749 of the family's 1533-position model. Lineage: Bacteria; Bacillati; Bacillota; Bacilli; Caryophanales; Bacillaceae. The record is from RNAcentral.
AUAACUCCGGGAAACCGGGGCUAAUACCGGAUGGUUGUUUGAACCGCAUGGUUCAAACAUAAAAGGUGGCUUCGGCUACCACUUACAGAUGGACCCGCGGCGCAUUAGCUAGUUGGUGAGGUAACGGCUCACCAAGGCAACGAUGCGUAGCCGACCUGAGAGGGUGAUCGGCCACACUGGGACUGAGACACGGCCCAGACUCCUACGGGAGGCAGCAGUAGGGAAUCUUCCGCAAUGGACGAAAGUCUGACGGAGCAACGCCGCGUGAGUGAUGAAGGUUUUCGGAUCGUAAAGCUCUGUUGUUAGGGAAGAACAAGUACCGUUCGAAUAGGGCGGUACCUUGACGGUACCUAACCAGAAAGCCACGGCUAACUACGUGCCAGCAGCCGCGGUAAUACGUAGGUGGCAAGCGUUGUCCGGAAUUAUUGGGCGUAAAGGGCUCGCAGGCGGUUUCUUAAGUCUGAUGUGAAAGCCCCCGGCUCAACCGGGGAGGGUCAUUGGAAACUGGGGAACUUGAGUGCAGAAGAGGAGAGUGGAAUUCCACGUGUAGCGGUGAAAUGCGUAGAGAUGUGGAGGAACACCAGUGGCGAAGGCGACUCUCUGGUCUGUAACUGACGCUGA